This 803-nucleotide long non-coding RNA is filed under the name Olea europaea subsp. europaea. Lineage: Eukaryota; Viridiplantae; Streptophyta; Magnoliopsida; Lamiales; Oleaceae. The record is from RNAcentral.
CUUGUAUCUUAUUCCAUCUUCAGGACAUCUCCACGGGAAUUCCUCGUAGGGAUCUAACUGCUACCAAUUAGAGCAGAGAGAAUAGCGAGAGAGAAAGACAUACAAAAAGACAAAAAAAAAAAUUGACAAGAAGAUAAAAAAAAUCUACAGAGUAAACAGACAUGGUGUGAAAUGGAGUGAAAAAGCAAUGGAAGAGAGAUAAAAUGUCAGAGAGAAGAAAUGGUGAGAUAGUCCACCCAGCAUUAAUAAGACAUGGUUGCGUGAAUUGUACUGAAGCAGAACCCUCUUUCCCUAGCCACACAAGUCUUUUUCAGUGUGUGUUUUGUAAGCAACCCUUUGUCUUCCAGUUUCAUUCUUCUCACGCACUUUUCUUUUUCUCAUUCAUUUGGUGCAAAAACCCUAAAAAUGCCUUUUUCUUCUAUUUCUAAAAUUUCCGUUAUUACUCUUCUGAUACACCGCUCUUUUGUUUUCGCACGGACAUUGUUCUUUUUUCUGUUCGAAAAUCUCCGUUAACGAUGAUCGGCAGGAACGAGGUUUCUAUAAUUUCUAUGAACUCAAUCGACUGUUUCUUCGGUAAGAUCUACAGUUUAGGCUUUAUUUUUUGUUGUUGUGUGGAAAUCGUUCUUUUUUCUGUUCGAACAUCUUUCAUAUUGAUUGUGUAUUUUGAACGACGAUCAAUAGGAACGAUGUUGCUAUGAACCCAAUUGACAGUUGAAGAAAGGGUUCGAUAGAAAGGGCAAAAAUUUCGGUAAGAUCUAUGUUCCCUUCGUUAAGCUACUUUCUGUAUUUAUAUUUGUGCGUUG